UGGGGAAUUGUUCGCAAUGGGCGAAAGCCUGACGACGCAACGCCGCGUGGAGGAUGAAGAAUUUCGGUUCGUAAACUCCUUUCGACCGAGAUGAAUACUCAUGGACCUAACACGUCCGUGAGCUGACAGUAUCGAGAGAAGAAGCCCCGGCUAACUCUGUGCCAGCAGCCGCGGUAAUACAGGGGGGGCAAGCGUUGUUCGGAAUUACUGGGCGUAAAGGGUUCGUAGGUGGCCACUUAAGUCAGACGUGAAAUCCCUCAGCUUAACUGGGGAACUGCGUCUGAUACUGCGUGGCUUGAGUGCAGGAGAGGGAUGCGGAAUUCCAGGUGUAGCGGUGAAAUGCGUAGAUAUCUGGAGGAACACCGGUGGCGAAGGCGGCAUCCUGGACUGUAACUGACACUGAGGAACGAAAGCCAGGGGAGCAAACGGG
RNAcentral lists this ribosomal RNA (430 nucleotides) under uncultured bacterium. RNAcentral's name for it is "bacterial SSU rRNA". It matches the Rfam family "Bacterial small subunit ribosomal RNA", at positions 355 to 776 of the family's 1533-position model. The record is from RNAcentral.